CUAGAAGAAAUGGGCAGCCUUCACUCACAUUCUUUCUUCAGAAGCGUGGAGCAUCUGUUUGUAACAGCUGAAGGGUAGAAACAGCGCUUGUGAUCGUGUGGUUGUGGACAGCUGGCCUGUGAUACGCUGCAGGACUCCAUCAAAGAAGGUGGGAGGCUUCAGCCUGGGAAGGUGGGGAGCGCAGGGGCCAUCUGAGUUUGUGCAGGCUUCAACUCCACUCUGGAAGAAUCUUCUCCACUGAGACACGUCGGCAAAGUGUGCACUUUCUCUUUGUUCAUGUAGAGAUCUGCUCACAAAAAGCCAUGUGCAAAGAUGGCCUGCUCUUCUUCGAGCACCUACAAAUGGCAAAACUACAAUUGGGCAUAAAUCAGGGGCUUUUUUUUUUUGCAUAUUUUUUUUCCUGUGAGCUUAUAACUUUGCAGAAACAACUGAAGCUGAGCUGAGACACUGAAGCCAUUGAAAAUCUGACCCUGAAUAUUAAACAAGCCCCGUGUGAGGUCGUAUUCAUCUGGGGGAUUUAAGCAAUUCUGAAUUGCCAAACCACCGUCCCCUGAAAGAGAAUUUACUAGACAAUAGGAAAGGGAUUGACAGAGAAAGGAAUAAAGAUGAAAUGUGAUGUCUGCCUAACCUAUUUUUCUUCACUCCCGUACCCCAUUCUGAGCCCUUUAACCAGCACCUUAACGGGAACUCUUCUCUGGUUUUGUGUCCCUAAGUGACCACAGCACCAUCUGCCGCGGGCUCUCCCCCUUCCCACCCUGCUGCCCUUCCCCUGGGAAGCUCAGACGUGGCUGCAGUCAGCGGGGCGCAGGGAAGCGGUGACCCCAAUAAGCGGGAAUGGGACGAGAAGUGUUGGGAGCAGGAGUCACAGCGAGGAGGUGACACAUCGCCGCACCGUGACUCAGGAGAAAGGCCAGGUCCUGAGGGCCUGCUGACUGCAGUGGGAGUUUGUUGGCCCACGGUGCAGCUAAACAAAAGACAAGAAAUACAAGCUGUGGCACAGAUCGUAGCUCAGAUGAGACGGUCCUGUAACCAGUCUGAGGAGUGCUGGGCCCUCGCCAGCGAGCUACUUGCAACACACGAGGAACAAAGAGAAAUUUGACUUUGAACCAGGCUGUCCUAUAUCCAGAAGAACUGUUGCUUUUUUUUUUGUAUGCUGUACAAAUAACGCACUGCUUGUAUCACUGUGCCUACUCCGCACCAAAUACCUGGGUUAUCUACCUGGGAAUUAAGAAAACAGGUGUGUGCGCACUGUAGGGUGCAUGGCAUUGCGGCAUCAGACCUCGUUAAAUGCCAUUUAAUGGCAUGUCACUGUUUCUGGAAACAAGCGGGAUCUGCUCCUGCCCUGUCAGCUGCAGAGGCCCGCACGACACGGCCAGCCUGCUUUCAGUUCUCUGACUUCUUUGAAGCAAAUAGUUCCUGAAGGGGAGAUUGAGGAACAGUUCUUGCCUCGGAUUUGCCUGCUUACAGGCAGCCUUGUGGAGCUGGAACUUAGUCCCUGCUCGGGGAGAUUUCUCUUCUGGGAACAGAACAGCGAGCGCCAGGACCGAGCAGGGAUCUGUCAUUGCGGAUCUCGAAAGAGUUAAUGAAAGCAGAGCUUGUCUGGCCAAGGGGCUGGUGCGGCUCCAGCAGAGCAGUGAGUCACCGAUAGAGCAUCCUGCCAAAGCACCCAGCGAGCUCCUCAUCCUCAGAUCCUCCUCUCCAAACAUAAUAGUGUGAAUUGGUCCAGCAUCAUGGCUAGGAAGCCCGACUGAACCCAGUCUGUACUUCACCAGCCACCAGGACUGUGACGUUCCUGUUUCGUCAAAUGAGCCCCCGUGGCAUUUCGCUCCUAAACAACGGACGGCUGCUCAUCAGACUAAAAUUAAAGGAGGUAACAAAUCAAUAUCCCAAACCCGCGCUUCUUUUGGACAAUCAGCAUUUCAUGGCCAGCUUGUUUUCCACAGUGAGGCACGGCUCUUCUUUAUUCAAACCCUCCAGCGGCAUUAACAUGCUCGGUGCGGAUCUCUGCCCUGUCAUACUUCUUAUCUCAAGGACAGCACCUCCGACAGCAAAAUGCCCCAUCCAUCACGUGGGAAUAUUAGCAAGCGUCCGGUCCUCUCGAGGAUGAAUAAAACCCGGGGCCCCCUGGCUCCAUGCCAAGCCGACCGCUUCCGAAAGCUGCCGCGGCCCUCCCAGGCCAUUCAUGCAGCUGAGCCGUUUCUUUAGGGCAGCGGGCACACGUGAUUAAGCAAGGGGAUAUUUGGGGAGGAAAAAAAAGAAAAAAAAAAAAAAACAGCUCGGGAAGCUGAAAGGGACUCGCCGUGCGUGCCCAAAAUCACGCCGAGGCCCCUGCAGAGCCGUGCGUGCGCUCCCGGGUGUGUGCACGAGGCCGGGACGUCGUCCCGGUGCCCCGCUGGGAUCUCGGUGCUCGUGUGGCUGUGUGCGUGCCUACGUUCUGCUUGCCUUUGUUUUGGUUGGUGCUUCUAAUCCCCCGGGGCAUAUCUCUGAGCUGAGGAACUUUAGAGCUGAUACAGCUUUUUAAAGUGGGGAUUAUGUAAAUGCAUAUUACGGGGCUUUCAUAAAUAGGGAUUAUUUGUCGAAUACAUUUGAGUGCU
Molecule: long non-coding RNA, 2594 nt
Organism: Oxyura jamaicensis (ruddy duck)
Lineage: Eukaryota; Metazoa; Chordata; Aves; Anseriformes; Anatidae
Exons: 3
Source: RefSeq, a predicted model, not a curated record